RNA transcript from Mus musculus (house mouse), 22073 nucleotides. It is a transcript of the gene named spindlin interactor and repressor of chromatin binding, with no coding region annotated. The transcript has 6 exons. The record is from RefSeq and is marked validated. NCBI's taxonomy places the organism in Eukaryota, Metazoa, Chordata, Mammalia, Rodentia, Muridae.
UUUUUUUUUUUUUUUCAAGACACAAGCAAAGAAAUUAUUGCAGCUGCUAGUGUAGUGCCAGGGAAAAGUUAGUGAUCCUCCAAAAACCAGACAGGAGCUGUAUUCACACUAACUGGGGGUGGGGGUGGGGGUCAUCGUGCUGCUGUCAUGCAGGACAGUUUUGGUGGUGGGUGAGCCCCGAAUGUCUAUGGGGCAAACUUUAUAAGUGUGCAAGCAUCUACUUGGAAAGCUACUGUGGCCUUUAACAUAAUUGGCUAGUGCCAGGAGUCAUAUCAUAAACUCAAUUUCUGCUCCCCUCUGCAGAGGUGGUCAUUAGGCAGGCUUGUAACCUGCGGGUGUAGGUUUGUUGGGGAAUAACCUGGAGACUUGUUGAGGGUGUAACCUGGAGACACUGUACUUGUUGGAGAUUAGCCUAGAGGCUGGAGCUAGGCUCGGGUUUUGUUGGGGGGCAACUUAGAGACUAGUGCUAGGUACCAGCCUGUUAGUUUACCUGAGUUCAAACAUAGGCCAGGUUCUCUAAAAUGGAGUCUGAACUUACAAAUUUGGCCUAUCACUACCACUGGGAUAUAUCCCACUUUGCUUUCGGAGGGGAUUUUCUGUUUUUUUCCUUUCCUUCUUUUUAUAUUCAGUUUCAGAAAAGGUUGAAAGAAUGUCUGAGCAGUUGGAAAAGUUGUGUGUGGAAGUGGAGGAUCCUGAGAAACAACAACAACAACAACAAAAUGGCUGAAAUGGGAAAACAAAAGGGGUUGCUCUGCUCUCCUGCUUCUGAACAGGUUGCAGAGUUGGCUGUGCCGCUGGAAAAAUUAUGGGUGGAAAUGGACACGAUGGGGAGGCAGGAGCACAAGAAAAGGGAGAACAAAAGGCUUGGCCCUGGUGACUGAGCAAGACAGCAGGAGUUUCUUGCAGGAGGAAAGAGGAAAGGAAACUGUGCCAGAGAGGGAGGAGGGGUGGCCCUGGGAUAGGAGAUCACCACCAUCAGCUUUCACAAUAGUCAUACAGCAUAUGCCUGUUAAUGGUGUGGAACAAGGUUAUGACAAGAUAGGAUGGUGUCUUGUAGAAAUGAUAGGUAUAAGCCAUGGUUUGGGGACUAGAGAAAUGGCUCAGUGGUUAAGAGCACUGACUGCUCUGGCUCACAACCAUCUGUAACGAGAUCUGAUGCCCUCUUCUGGUGUGUCUGUAGACAGCAACAGUACACUCACAUACAUAAACAAAUAAAUAAAUAGAUCUUUUUUUAAAGCCAUGAUUUCAUAAGUGGUGCACUCGCCUUAAGUGAAACAAAUUCUAAAUAACUAGUUUACUCAAAAUACAAUUAUUUUGUAUUUUGAAAAGUCUGAACAAAACCCACAAUCCCUGAGCUUCCCAAAUUCAGGAUUUAAAAAUCCUACCAAUCCUCACCUGGAAAUAUCUAACUAGAAAGCUCUGCCCAGUAAGAACCUGUGUCAGUUCCUUGCUGUUCACUCCCAGUAGCAGAGGCAGCCACCCCUGGGCCCUCCACACCCUUGAUCCUCCCAAUAAAUCUCUUAUUAUGGAAUUUGCUACCUGUUGUGACUCAUAGAAAGAAGCCAAGAAGCAAUGAGAAGUGAAAUGGAACAGGACUGAGGCUCCUUAGCUUAGCUGGGGAUUCCCUCCUCUGGGAGCUGCUGUGAGGUUCCUGGGCUUCCCUGUUCUUGGGCUUUUGAGUCCCAGGAUGCCUUUCUAUUUGAGCAAGAAGGCCAACAGAGGAGAGAAAAGGAUAUCAAGGAAAGGAAAGAGACCCUGAAUAAAGUGGGAGGUUAGAAAGGGAUGAUGCUAUCAUUAGACUACUUCCUGCUGAUUAGGGGUGUCAGGUUCCUUGGGGCAAGUUUGAUCUUUGCCACCGGGAUAUCUAAUUUCUCGUUUCUUCUUUGUGUGGGACUACUUAAACUGACCAAAAACCAACUGACAACUCCCCAACUAUACACCACCUCCUCCACCACUAUCACCACAAAUUCCACCCUACCAUUUAUAUACCCUCUCAGAAAUCCUCAGAAUUCCAAAUGUCACAUAAAUGCAGAAACUAUUUGCAGCUGACAAAAUCACACCCCUGCUAGAGCAUGAGGCAAACCAUAGUCAGCUGCUGUGGACAAAUCGAAGCAGCCCCAUAUCCCACACCUGGGAUUAAAAUUAUAUAUAUAUAUAUAUGAGAGAGAUUCUCUGUGUAGUCCUGGCUGUCCUGGAACUCAUUCUGUAGACCAGGCUGGCCUUGAACUCAGAAAUCUGCCUGCCUCUGCCUCCCUAGUGCUGGGAUCAAAGGCGUGGGCCACCACUGCCUGGAGUAUUCUUAUAUUUUUGUGUUUUAUUUUCCCAAAGAAACUAAAAUUCCAAAAUUGUCACUUACACUCGUGAUGGCCAAAGAACUAGUCUAUUAAGUAUAUGGUAGAGGGCUAGUGACAAACCAGUGUACAAUCCCCAGAGCCCACACAAAGACGAGAACCAGCUCCCCGAAGCUGUUGCUCUAGCCUUCAGACAAGUACUCUGGUGCACAACCCAUAAGAAAACAAAUAUAUAUAAUUAAAUAAGAAUCUGGUGCAAUACUAGGGCUACCCAUCGCUUUGGAAUCAAACAAGAAAUAGGAACCACAGGGUGACCCAAGUGACAGGGUGACAGAAGGGCUGGAAGCCCAACAGGGAAGUGACACAAACCAAGGACUCACAAAGACACUGGAGACACAGCCUCACCUGCUCAGGAGGAGUUAGAACUCAGGAGGGACAGAGGGAGGGAAAUAACAGGCUUUUCUUUUUCUUGCCUUUCAGGCCUUAGUCACAAUCUCCCGGAAGCUUGAGUCCUGUAGCCAGCCCACUGCAAAAACAGAACAGACUACCUACCCAGAGGCAUUGGGCAAAAAGCAAAGAACAGCCUUUAGGUAAGAACUAUCCAGGCCUAGGAAAUUGCUUGAUUUGGAGUAUCUUUUUAGUACUGGGUACAUUUCAAAGUAAUAGAAAUUUCCUCAGUUCUUUCUAUUGUGGCUGCUGUAUGUGGUGUCAGCUCAGACCUUUAAUCCUUGUGCCAGGGGAAUGGAGGGAGGAGGAAAAGGUUUGGGGCAAGCAGGGUUACACAGAUUCCAGGUCAGACUGACAUGAAAGUGAGUCCUUAUCUCAACAAAAUAAAAGCUGGUUAUGCAGUGGAUGGGGGGGGGGUGGGUAUGCCCAGGGCGCGCGCGCACACACAAACACACACACACACACACACACACACACACACACACACACACACAAUAUACGGUAAGUGAACUGUUUCUCUUCUGUCCCCUAGCCUCCUACAUCAUCCACAAUUACUGUUUCUGGGCUGAUAAUUACUGUUGGUAGCACUUAAAAUCAGAAUUUUGAGUGCCAGACAUUUUUGCCGUUUCUCAGCUGAAAUCUAGCGUGUCUGGUGUGUGUAUGUGUGUGGGGAGGGGAUGUUAUGCAGAAGUGUAAGUGCCCAUUGUGACAGUCUUCACUCAGGCACGAAUGCCAGGCAGCAGCGCCAUAGCAACCGGAUCCCGGUCUUGGAGGCUCUCAGGGGAUUUGCUGUGUCCUGGGAAAAGGCCACACUCUCUGGACUCACGUUUUUUGUUUUGUUUUGUUUUUAACGUAAAUUAUAUCCAUCGGAAGCGGUUUACACACGCCCACACGCCACUCUUGUCCUCUUCAUCUUCUAGAAUCUUUGUUUAGGAGGAUCCAAAGUGAUUUUUCUUUCCCUAAAGCGUAUGUGCUAGUAGAAAGGAACGAGGCCCAAAGAAAUUAGAAGAGAUGUCUCCACACUUCUGAGCCUAUGUAUCCUUCACACAUCCCCACCGGUCUUUUCUCGUCUGUGUUGCCUCCCAGGCAGGCAGCUAGUCAGGGGAAAGCCAAGAAGUAAGAUGCCGAGCAGCCCUUUCCUCCAGCCAUUGGUGGGGAUGCCCUACCGGGUCUCCAAGGCUGCCGGCGCCGCUCCCAGGAAAACUCCAGGCUUCGCCGCCGAGCAAACCGGCCAGAGACAAACGCGCUGCACAGGGUUCUGGCCCAGACCUGUGGCUGGGGCGGGGCUAGGGGGCGUGUCCUCACGUGAUUGGCCAGCCUGGUCUGGAGGCGGGACUGCCGGACGGACGCUGACAAUGAGCCUCCAUAAAAGGGAGCGGCGGGGUUGGGGGCCCCGGAUCGAACCCUCCCCGCCCGGGGUCGUGACGCGUUGAAGCCCGUGGCUGGCGGGGCGGCCGGGCGAGCGGCGGGUGAGCUAGGCGAGCCGCGGGCCCGGGGUGGUCCGGGGCAGGAGGCGGCCGCCACAGGCGGUGCGCCGAGGUCUGUGCGAACGUCCUCGGCUAUCCGGUCGCCCUUCUUCGCCUCGCCAUGGCCCUGAAAGCCAAGGGCGCCGCGGCUCUGGAUUGCUUCGAGGUGACGCUCAAGUGUGAGGAAGGGGAUGAUGACGACGAGGCCGUGGUGGUGGCCGUGAUCCCGCGGCCCGAGCCGAUGCUCCGAGUAACCCAACAGGAAAAGACGCCGCCACCUCGGCCUAACCUGCUGGAAGCAGGUGUUGAAGGCUGUGAGGAGCUCAAGCAGCAAGUGUCAUGGGAGCAGGAGUUCCUGGUGGGGAACAGCCCAGGAGGCAGUGGACGGGCGCUGUGCAUGGUGUGUGGGGCUGAGAUCCGGUCCCCAUCAGCAGACACUGCUCGCGCACACAUCCUGGAGCAGCAUCCUCACACCCUGGACCUGAGCCCCUCUGAGAAGAGCAACAUCUUAGAAGCCUGGAGUGAAGGGGUUGCCCUUCUGCAAGACAUCCAAGCUGACCAGCCAUCCCUGCCCAGCCUAGAGUCAGGCCAGGAUGGCCAGCCAGACCCCAUCUCCAACCCGGAUCCUGUCAGGAUGCCAGCAGAGAUAGUGGUCCUCUUGGAUUCCGAGGACAACCCAUCCCUUCCUAAGAGGCUCCGGCCCAGAGGACUCCGCCCCCUUGAGCUGCCCGUUACCCCUGUCAUAGAGCAAGGGAAUAAAAAGCCCCGUGGUCAGAGAUGGAAAGAGUCCCCUGAGAAUGAACCUGCUAGAAAGAAGAGAAGCAGGCAUAUGACCAAAAUCUUGGACCCUGACCCAGACCCCCCGUCUCCUGAGUCACCCACAGAGACAUUCGCAGCACCAGCUGAAGUCCGACACUUCACUGAUGGCAGCUUCCCUCCUGGCUUCGUCCUCCAGCUCUUCUCCCACACUCAGCUCAGGACCACUGACUGUAAGGACUCUUCUAAGGACAGCAGAGCAGCAGAGGGCCUGCCCCAGCCACAAAACCCCUCUUCAGGUGAGCCCUGCUAGGAGGGGCCGGUGAGGAAAGCUGAGUCCCUGGAUCACAGCCAGAGCCCAGAUAGAGGUGCUGGGUGUUUAGGCCUUCAAGAGAAGGCCAAGGACAGGGGUUUGAAUGCUGAGGAAGCUGGCCUCUAAGUGGGGCAUCUCUGGCAGUGGUCAUUAAGUUUUGCUAGGCCUUCCAACGCUUGGUGCUCAGCUCAGACCAUGAGGCUGGAGCUCUGGAAGAGCUUCCGUCACUCUGGUGACAGAGGGGCCCAAGAUUAAACAGGUGUGGGGACCAUGGGCAAGUGAUGAACAUCAAAAGGAUUCUCAAUAAUACAAGUGAACUUCCAUUGACAGCUGCUGUUUGUGGUUAUAACCUAGCCUACUGACUGAGAAACUCUUGAAUAUAAUUCAUUUGAUCCUUAUUAAAUACCUUAUAAACAAAGCAUAACGUGGUUUCUAACACUUGAAAGUCUGAGACAGGUUUGCCACAGGUUGGAAGUAGCCUAGGUUACAGAGUGAGAACCAAUCUUUACAAAUCAGAACCCAAAAAAGCUCCUUCCGUAAGCUGUACAUGGGGAGCGGGGAGAUAUCGGCUCAUCAGGUGAAGAUAUGUGCUGCCAAACUGACGACUUGGCUUCAGUCCCCAAAAUGAGAAGGAGAGAAGCAGGCUACUGAAAGUACCCUCUGACCUCCACGUGUCCAUGGCUCACAUAUUUCCCCUCCCCAAUUAAACUAAACCAAACAAACACAUUUUUAUUGUUUUUAAUUUUUUUUGGUGUUUUGAGACAGGAUCUCACUAUGUAGCUUUAACUGUCCUGAAACUCAUGAUGUAGACAGAGCUGGCUUCAGUCCACUUGAGACCUCCCUGCCUCUGCCUAGGUGCUAGGAUUAAAGGCAUUCGCUACCCUGUCCAGCUCUGUUUGUUUUUGUUUUUGUUUUUUUGAGACAGGGUUUCUCUGUAUCACCUUGGCUGUCCUGGAACUCACUCUGUAGUUCCAGAACAACUCAGAAACUCGCCUGCCUCUGCCUCCCAAGUGCUGGGAUUAAAGGUGUGUGCCACCACGCCCGGCUCCUGUCCAGCUCUUUAAUUUAGUUUUAUUUUAUAAGCUUUUUAAAAGAUUUAUAACCGGGUGGUAGUGGUGCAUGCCUUUAUUCCCAGUGUGCAUACUGACAAUCAAACUCCUGUGUACUUUUAAACACUGAGGCAUGUCCACAGCUCCAGGGUGUUUCUGCUAACUUACAGUCCUGUACCAUUAUGGGGAAAUGAAGACUGCAGUGCCCUCGGGGAGGCUAAGGCUGGAUCCUCCCCUUGUAAUGUUGAAUUCAGAUUACAGCAUCUCAGGAUAAGCAACUUGUGAAUGAAGGAUUGGUUGUUGCCGGGGAGUGCUUAGACCCUUGUCCCAUAAAGUUAGAAAUGCUUCAUUAAUAUGCUUUUGGUGCUGGGAUAAGUAAACCAGCUAAUAGGCAACCAUAGACCUGGCAUGGGGCUUGCAAAGAAGAGGUAAGCUUUCAGUAUGGAGGCAAGCAAGCAUGUGAUUUCCCUUGUCCGUAGUGCCCACUUUUACUCGUUUGGUCAUAUCCUUUUUCUUCAUCAGAAGUCUGUAGAGGAGUGCACUAUGUGCCUCUGUUUACCUAAAUGGUCUUCACUCUUAAGACAGGCCUCACUCAUGUACUUCCUUCAGUCAGUUACAUUCCAGUGUUACUUCCUGGGCAGCCAUAUCCUCCUUGGACUUGCAUGCUUCUGGGCCUCCUUGAUCAACCUGGGGCCUUCCGCCUUCACAGAUGAAGGACUCCUUCAUCAUGAGUCUUGGGGUAUCCUGUGCCCAAACUACCUAUCUGGGAUGGUGAGUUGAAGCAAACUGGGUCAGGGCAUCACAGGUGGUGGCAGAGGGAGAGAAUGGGACUGAGGAGGUAGCAGUGUGUCCUGGUACUGUCAUGGUAUAUGGAACCUUGUCAGAGCAAAGCCUCUGCUGGUUUCUUGUUUGGGGACCCAGAGGUUUGACAGCUCCAGGGUAUUCAGCUUUCAUAGAAGUAAAGUUCUACCCCAAAGAAAAGAUGAGUAAAAAUCAUAGACACAGAAACAAGACAAGCUCACUGGCGUCAGCUUUGCUGAACUAAUGGAUAUGCAUAUGAAGCUGCCUGGGAAAACUUUCUGGAACUUUCCAAGAACCUUGUUUGCAACAUGUGGAUAAAGGAAUUUACAAAGCAGUAGAGAAAGUAAACUGAUGUGUCCACAAGUCCUUCCAGGGGAGAGGGGUGGUAAAGGCUUUUUAUUACUCUGUUGACCCAGUUUGCUUAGAACACAUGAUUCGUGAUUUUCUUUGCUCAGCUCCCCAAGUGCUUACAGUACAAUUGUAAGCCACUGUGUGAUACCUGGCUUUUGCUUUUUUUUUUGAAACAGGGUCUUCUAUAGCCCAGGCUGGCUUUAAACUAUGUAACCAAGGCUGGCAUUGAAUUCUUGUUCCUCCUGUGUCCACUUUUCAAGUGCUAACUCGGGAAGCUGGUCACCACAGCCACAGGCAAGACUUGGGAGUGAAAGCCUGCUAGAUGAGAUCAGAGAGAGAGAGAGAGAGAGAGAGAGAAUAUACAUCCCAAAAGGAAAGCUCUCCAUCUCCACACUGUUGCAACCCCUCCCCCAAGUGAGUGUCCCUCCCUUCUCCUUCCUGUGUGCCUGGGUCCAUCCUCCUGACUUCUUAUUCUGUGGUAGUUUCCUAGCUUCGCUCCCUGUCACAUCACUUGGUUGCUUGCUUCACCUCUUGACCUAUGGUUAACUUUAUUUAAUCUUGUUUACAAUAAACAGAAAGCUUUUGGAUUAUAGGUUUGUGCUAAGGCUAAGCCACACCACAAUUAGACAGUUGUUUUGUUUUGUUUUGUUUUGUUUUCUGUAAAUAGUCUCAGGGUUCAGAGCAUAAUUCUGAAACAUUUCCCCCUUUUUUGUCUAAUAAAAAGGAAAGAAUUUAACUUUAUCACAGUAACACUAUUUAUAGUACUGAAGCUAGUUCUGCCAGGCAUUUCACAAAGUUCAGUUUGAUUAUAUUUGGGAGUCUUUUUUAUUUUAUUUUAUUUUUUUUUUUUUUUUGGUUUUUUCGAAACAGAGUUUCUCUGUAUAGCUCUGGCUGUCCUGGAACUCACUCUGUAGACCAGGCUGGCCUGGAACUCAGAAAUCGGCCUGCCUCUGCCUCCCGAGUGCUGGGAUUAAAGGCGUGCGCCACCACGCCCAGCUAUUUUUGGGAGUCUUAAGAUUAAGUAUUUUGUAUUAAAAAAUUAUGUAAAACUUCAUGUCAGUGUCCUAUGAACUCAGUAGUUUGAAUGUCUUGCGCAUCACAAUCUAUUAAGUACACAAACUUUGUUUCUAGUUAACCUGUUUCAGACUCCAACCUGCAAGCACACAAAGGAAGCUAGAUCAAAUUUGUAGCGGCCUGCAACCACUUGAACUGGGUUCCCCUGAAAGGCAGGCUGGGGCUGAAAGAGAUCAGACAGUGAGAAAAGAAUGAGGCCAAGACAAACCUUUCUGUUCAAAGCCUUCGAAGUUUACUGAAUCUGUAUUUAUAAAGAGGGUAGGCCCAUCCCCCACCAGCCCAUUCUUGGUGCCUGGAGCCAGCCCAUAGGCGAUCUACAGGGUGUGUCUCUGGAACAUCUCACGGACCUUUCUGCAGGAAGCAGAGUCUUGGAGAAGAGCAAAUAGAGCCAUCCAGGUCAGAAGGCGUAGACCCUAGGUAAUCUCCUCCUUAGUGGCAGCAAGGUCAAAGUCUGGAUCAGCCUGCUUCAAGGCUGAGGGAGGCUACAAAACUUAUUUCCAGAAUUAGUGUUCUGUAUAACUACUACAUAAUAAUCUUACAGGUUUUGAGAUAAUAUUUAUACCUUCAGAAAAGCUUGCUUUUUUGUUUUCCGAGACAGGGUUUCUCUGUGUAGCCCUGGCUAUCCUGGAACUCACUCUGUAGACCAGGCUGGCCUGGAACUCAGAAAUCCGCCUGCCUCUGCCUCCCAAGUGCUGGGAUUAAAGGUGUGUGCCACCACUGCCUGGCCAGAAAAGUUAAAAGUCAAACAAAGGUUAUGAGAUUAGUGGCCUUUAUUUUUUUGUUUUCCUCUGUCUCGUAUCAGGUGGUUCUUCUGAUAUGGGACAGAGAUUUUAGAUUUUCCUUUAACAAGCAUUCCUGGGUUUAAAGGAGAGAGCCGUGCUUCAAAUCCACAGCCAGCUUUAAGUUUUUUGUUUUGUUUUCGAGACAGGGUUUCUCUAUGUAACCCUGGCUGUCCUGGAGCUCACUCUGUAGACCAGGCUGGCCUGGAACUCAGAAAUCCACCUGCCUCUGCCUCCUGAGUGCUGGGAUUAAAGGUGUGCACCACCACGCCCAGCUCUCAAGCUGCCUUUUACAAGUGGAUUUUUAAUUUAAAUCAUUGUGAUCCUUAUGUGCCUGCCUUCCAAGUGUUGGGAUUAAAGGUGUGUGCCUCCUGAGUGCUGCAAUUAAAGAUUUGAGUCACUGGGCUUGAGAGAUGGCUCAGUGGUUAAGAGCACUGACUGAUCUUCUAGAAGUCCUGAGUUCAAUUCCCAGCAACCACAUGGUGGCUCACACCCAUCCAUAAUGGGAUCUGAUGCCUUCUUCUGGUGUGUCUGAAGACAGGAACAGUGUACUUACAUGCAUAAAAUAACUAAAUAAAUCUUAAAAAAGAAGAAAAGAUGAUGAGUCACUGCCUGGCUGUGGGUUCCUUGCAGUAGUCUCUGGUGUAAUUUGGUUCUCCAUUUUUUAGUGUUAAGGGUUUUCAAGUUUUUCGAAUGCUUAAUCUAUUGUUCUUACUGACUUAUUCUGAAUUUGUUCACUAUUUCAUUGUUUUCAGAGGUUUUAUUGGUCUUGCCUACAUGAGCUAAAUAAAAUUUGAUGUCUUUGCUAAGUUUUGCUAGGCUUUUGCCAGUUCUGGUCAUGCCUCCCAUGACCAGAUGUCUUUGCCAUUUAUCUUCCAGUUAGUGGUUUUCCAUUUUGAUGACCAUAUAGCUAGAGCAUCGCACACACACCAUGAAUCGAGUAGAUAUUUUCCUCUUGCUUUCCUAGUUGUUUGUCUCACAGCCAGUAACGCUGCACUGAUUUUGUGGCUCCUUUCUCCGUGUUGGCCGGUCCAUCCCCUCGUCUAUAAGCUGUCUCUUGCCAUUGGUCUUCGUUCCAUCGGUGGUUGGUGAUGAUUGUGACCAUUCUUUAGGUCCCCACAGUUUGGCAGAUAACCUGUUUUGGAGGAGCAGUGAACAGUGUAGGAGUGGGGGUUAUAUAUUUAUUCUCCAUAUAUGGAAAGCAUUUGCCAAUGGGCAAAUAUUGGUGGACUUUUUUUUUUUUCCUUUAUGAAGAGCCCUGGUUGCUAAAUCACUGAUAAAUAUGAUAUCCAUAAUUAGGGUAGCAUCAGCUUCAAUAUUGGUCAGGGUUGCCUGCGGGGAGAUGAGCUUAGCAACAGUCACAGAAGCGCUCUUUAGUUCCUGCCCCCAUUGGAAAUUAGCUGCCUUUCUGGUAACCCUAUAGAGGGGUUUUUAUAAUAAUGUAUAAAUAUGGUAUAUGAUUUCUCUACUGUGCAAAUUACCAAUUAGGAGCUGAAGCUGAGCUUUGUCCCUGGGUGGCAGGAUUAAAGGCGUGUGCUGUCAUCCUCCUCACUAUAACUCUUAGAAUGUAGAAAAUAACUAAUUUCUUGAGAUCCACCGCUCUGCUGGCUUUGUAGGCAUGGGCUACCACAGCCUCACUGAAAUAUUUUAUCCUAGCUCCAAAUCACUUAGAGAUUUAGAAAACAAAUGUGGCCGGGCAUGGUGGUGCACACCUUUAAUUGAGGACAGCCAGGGCUACACAGAGAAACCCUGUCUCGAAAAAAACAAAAAAAAAAAAAAAAAAAAACAAAUGUGAACUAUAGUGAAACCCUUUGAAUUUACCUAAAACAUUUUAAAGCCCUUUACUGUGUUUUUAAUACCAAACAAUAAAAAGAUCCUUUUUAUUUAAAAAGAAAACUCAAGAGUUAAUGUCCAAGAUAAUGUAUCUACAGUCUUAACGUUCGAACAUGAAAUUAAAACACAUGUUUUAUAUACUUUUUAUAUCACACCAGUAAAGCAAAUAUGCCUUUGGAAAAUCAUUCAAAAAUGUUUUUUAUUGUUAAUUCCUGAUCAAAUGAAAGGCAUUUGUUAGUCUUUGUAAGUUAGUCUGGACUCAGUGACCAAGCUGCCUAUUGAAGUAUGACCUCUCCUCGUUCAGGAGAUCUCUCCUGAUUGAACCUAGUCAUUGUCAGUUUAAUCAUUAUCAGUUUUGAUGAUCUCCACAGUUUUUUUUCUCCUGUGGAAACAGAGACAAAAACCUCUUCCCAAUUUAAUAUAUAUUCUUGGUUCUAUUCUGGGGUCAACAUGUCUUUAAAAUAUACAACCCAGUUUGUUUCAGGUUUUUUCUACUCUCCAGUCUCUAUCUGUAGCUGUUGUGUUUUGCUUAUCAACAAUUUGGACAAUCUGUGACUAUUCUUGAUAAUACCUUUAAAUAUUUUUCCCAGAAGCAUUCUUUAUUUUAUGGUUUGUUUCUAAAAUUGGAGGAAUUUUAAUCAGUGGUUUUCAUUGCUGCAACAAAUCACGUCCCCAUAAAUUCAUAGCAAUUCUUCGCCGUAUAUGGCUUUAAGUUUCCUGUUUGUUCUUCUGCCCUGGGUACUUGACCCAUCCUGCGCUGUGCUUCACCUGAGAUGAACUUCCAGUCCCUAGAAGCUGGAUAUUUACCUCCUGAAGAGGCCAAUCUGGGUACCAACGUGUGGUGAAGUUAUUGUUACAUCUGUUCCUAUGACUACCAAACCUUUAACUUCAUGCCAUUUGUUUGUAUGUUUAGCCUUGGUCUCUGCUAUAAAUAAGUCUAAGACUUGUAUCUUAUCAAUCUACUUUUCAUAUUUUUUUUCCUGUAUGUAUAUAGUUUUUUCUUUGGGAGGGUACAGAAAGCCACUAUGGCUAUUAAGGAUAAAAUAUGAAAUGCUAAGAUGAUAAUUGAGCCAAUUUCAGUUAAGUCAUUUAGUUUUUCAUUUUGACUUCUGUUUUCAAGCUGUUUAAAGUAACACUAUACAGGAUCCUAGUGCCUUAUAUUAUGUUUUUUUCCUAUCCUUAACUUUGAAAUAUCCAGACUUCGAAAAUCUGAUGGCUUCUUAGUUUGUCUGCAACUGGUGUAAUUUCUCAGUUAGUGUUGGAUUGCCAAAUGUUGUUUAUAACAAAAUCUCAAAUCAUUCGAUUUUUACCAAUUCAGACUUGGGAACCAGAUACUGGGGUGAGAGCCUGCUGAAUCAGAGAGGCAGAGAAAGCACCCAGCUGACCUUCCUUUAUAGCCAGCAUCCCAAAAGGAAAGUUCUCUGUUGUCUCAACACCCACCCACCCCCACCCCCACCCCCGCCAACACACACACACACUUGAAUGUCCCUCCCUUCUACUUCCUGUGCCUCUCUCUGUCUAUCCUCCUGACUUCCUCUUACUCUUUUAUUUUCCCCCUAUGUUCAUUCCCUCUCAACAGGUUGCUUGCCUUGCCUUUUGGCUUAUGGUUGACUUUAUUUAAUCCUGUUUACAACAAACAAAGCUCUUGGAUUAAAUAAAGGUGUGUGCUAGGGAUGAGCACAACUAGAAACAAGUUUUUUCAAUAAAUAACCCAAUCUCAGGAUUCACAAUGUGAUCAAAUGUCUGUAACCAACAGUACCUGACAUAAAGACAGCUCUUGCGCUCGGAAGUGCUUUCUGUUCUUAUUUGUCAUUUGAGUGGUGUAACAUUUCCAAGAUCCCUGUGUAGGUUUGUCCUUAGUGAGAACCAAAAGAAAUGGGCUUAGUCCAGCCUCUGCAGGAGGAUUGGUGGCUGGGAAGUGAGAGGUGGAGCAGACCACUCAGGAAGAGACCUCUUCUAGGGCCCAAGAGUAAAAUGGACCAGUUUGUCCCAAAGACUAGUAAUCAGUUCUCCCAUCUCUCUCCUUAUUUCUCAAGCUUAUGGGAGGGCAUGUGCUAUGGCAUACGAGGGAGGUCAGAGGAUUAAACUCAGCUCAGCACUUAAGUGGCUCCCAGCUUGCUUUCUCUGGCUUUAGGGUUCUAGUCUCUGUCACAUCAGGCUUUGCUCUCUUGCCCUUUUAUUCCAUCCAUCGAUUCCUUUGUCCCCUCUGGAGUCCCCAGCUUCUGGACCCUUAACUAGGUUCUGAGCUUAUGGUAGUGUCUGUUUCUUUUUUUGUUUUUGUUUUUUCGUUUUUGGUUUUUCCAGACAGGGUUUCUCUGUAUGUCCCUGCCUGUCGUGGAACUCACUCUGUAGAUCAGGCUGGCCUUGAACUCAGAAAUCCGCCUGCCUCUGCCUCCUCAGCGCUGGGAUCAAAGGCGUGCGCUGCCACCACCACCGCCCGGCUAUGGUAAUGUCUUGAUCAUGAAAGUAGUGCACAGGAACCCUUAUGGUUUUGUUUUACAGAAAGAAAAACUGAACCAGGCAUUGUAAUGGUGUGCGCCUGUCGUCCUAGCCUCUGCCUAUGAGCUCAGAUACCUGAUGCCAGCUAGACCAUACCUCAAAAGAAGGGCCAGGGCUGGAGACUUGGCUUGAGGGUAAAAUACUUGCUGUACAAACCAGAAGUCAGUUUGAUGCCUGGUUCUCAUUAGAACACCAAGUUGGAUGUGGUGGUGUACAACUUUAAUCCCAGCACUUGGGAGGCAGAGGAAGGUGGAUCUUUGUGAGUUGGAGGCCCACCUGGUCUACAGAGAGAGUUCCAGAACAAGCAGAGUUGCACAGAGAAAUCCUGUCUUCAAAAACCAAAAAAAAAAAAAAAAAAAAAAGCCGGGCGUGGUGGCACACGCCUUUAAUCCCAGCACUUGGGAGGCAGAGGCAGGUGAAUUUCUGAGUUCGAGGCCAGCCUGGUCUACAGAGUGAGUUCCAGGACAGCCCGGGCUAUACAUAGAAACCCUGUUUCAGAAACAAACAAACAAACAAAAAAGAACACCAACUCUGAAAGUUUCCUCUUACCUACAGUCUCACACACCAUGCCAUGCUACCUCUAUUCACCCAUUGCUCUUCUACAGAACCACAGUGAUUAGAACCCUGGGGCUGGAGAGACGGCUCAGCAGUUAAGAACACUGCUCUUCCAGAGGUCCUGAGUUCAAAUCCCAAAAACCACAUGGUGGCUCACAACCAUCUAUAAUGAGACCAGAUGCCCUCUUCUGGUGUGUCUGAAGAUAGCUACAGUAUACUUACAUAUAAUAAAUAAAUAAAUCUUAAAAAAAAAAUCAACCCUGAACAUCUGCAAAUGAAGGUGUGUGGACACAGGUGUACUGCAGGGCACACUGACACUACAGCUUUCAUGAUAAGAUGUUUUGUAUGCCGUGUGUGUGUGUGUGUCUGUGUGUGUGUGUGUUAGGAAGGAGGUUUCAAGGGCAGAGGGGCAGAUACUCGGGUUCGAGGAGAUGAGUGGGACUGGGGUGCAUCACGUGACACUCACAAAGAACCAAAAGUUUUAAAAAGUAAAAUAAAAAUUAGACAAGGAAGUUACUACUGUGGGACACUUGUUUAAUGUGUGUAUAAAAUCCCAGUGUGUAUGGUUGUUUGUCUGCAUGUAAGUUUGUACAUUAUGUGUGCCUAGGACCUGCUGACUCCAGAAGAGCAUUUUGAAUCACCUGUAGAAUUACAAAUGGUUGUGAGCCACCAUGUAGAUGCUGGAAAUUGAACCUGAGUCCAUUGCAAGGGUAGCCAGUGCUCUUACAGAGUCAUUUUGUAGUCCAGCUAACCUUGAUCUCUCAGUUCUCCAGCCUUGGCCUUUGAGGCUAAGAUUAUAAGCAUAAACUGCUGUGUCCAGUAAAGAUUUUAUCUCCCAACACUGCAAAAGUAAAGUGCUAUGAGGUCGAAGCUAGGCCUUGGGCAUUGUCUUCGUUUAGGACUUAGUGCUGUAAAGAGACACCAUGACCAAGACGACUCUUAAUGAAGGACAACAUCUAAUAGUGCUGGCCUACAGGUUCAGAGGUUUACUCCGGUAUCAUCAAGACAAGCAUGGCAGCAUCCCGGCAGUCAUGGUGGGGAGUUAUUAUUUUUUUUUCUUAAGAACAGAUGUAUUUCUGACUAGACUAUAAGGUGAAAUAGCCACUAUGGAAAAGCAGUUUAGCAGUUCCUCAAAAAGCUAAACAAUUAUUCUUUGCCCUGGUUUUAGACAUAGUAUAUACAGGGAGGAAAGUUCUACACCUUGACCAGAAUGAUGCAGGAAGCCAGGAGGAGGGUCUCUUCCAUGCUCGGUGGAGCUUGACCAUAAGAUAUCCAAGCCUGCUUACACAUUGUCACAUGUCCUCCAACAAGGCCAUACCUCCUACUAGUGCCACUUCCCAUGGGCCAAGCAUAUUCAAACCACCACAGGCCUGUAAGGUUUCUUAGGGUCUCUCACCCAACAGGCUGUAACUUGUCAUGCUUCUACCAGACACCCAGUUGCAAGCUGAUGCAUAGCCCUGUUGUGUGGCAAAACUUCUUCAGGAGAUGCAAUUCACACAAAUCUAUUCCUCCCUCCCCCAAGAUAAGGAACGGACAACAGACCAAAAGUAUGCAUGCCACCAAAGUCCAGUGUGGUAAAUCAGUGAGUUUUAUUGUGGUUACUUACAGGAAUGUGGGUGAGGGGUUACUUACAGGAACAGAAAUUAUUCAAAGACAGCUGCAUUACUAAAGUCAUGGGUGACAUGUCACUCACAAAGCACACCACAGCCUAUAGACAGCUCCACAUGUUGGACAGUGUCCUUUCCAGGUUCCUCAGUUAGGCUAAACUGCUUCCAGGCAGUUGGUGUGGUCAGGCAGUACUCUUGAGGGUCUUUGAAACUCAGCUUUACUUUUCUGAGAGCUACCCUUAGUUAUUUACUCUUGUAGGGAGGGGCUUAGUGAAUUUAGUCAGUUUGGGGGACUUCCUGAAGCUAGUUUGAGUUGUUUACCGUCCUACUUAAGGAGCUUUAGGAUGUUUCAGUCUCAGAAGAAGUUGUUAUACAAGUCCCUCUCUGCUUUAGUAUCUGGGUUCAAGUGUAUCUACAGUAGAAGGCUGGAACCCCUAGCAGGGGUUAGCUCUGUUCCCCUUGCAAAAGCAAUUGAUUUUCUCCUGUCUUUGGCAAUCACCUCUUCCAGAUUGUCUUAUCAGCCUGAACAAAGCUGUUAUUUCUUCCUUCUUGACUCCUUCAUCCCUCUGGCUACUGUUACCACUUAUUCCCAAACUGGAAUCUUUACUCUGUCAGCUACCUUUUACUGUCUCUGGAGUCCACUGGACUGACUAUCCACAACAUUCUACACUGAAGUUUCUUCUUUGCCAACUUCCGUUGACUGCCAUAAGGUUAAAGCCAGUAUUUAGACAUCUGUAUUCUCUCUUUCCAUUUCCACCUUCUGUUGUAGUCUGGAACAGGUUAUACAAACCUUUGUAGAUCCUCAUUCCCUCUUCUUCCCAAGUGCUGGGAUUACUGAUGUAUACCAUCACACCUGGCAUUUCCCAUGUCCCUUUCUUACUUAUUUUUUUUUUUUAAGAUUUAUUUAGUUUAUGUGAGUACACCGUAGCUGUUUUCAGACACACAACAAGAGGGCAUCUAAUCCCAUUACAGAUGGUUGUGAGCCACCAUGUGGUUGCUGGGAAUUGAACUCAGGACCUCUGGAAGAGCAGUCAGUGCUCUUAACCUCUGAGCCAUCUCUUCAGCUCCUCUUACUUAUUCUUUUUGUUGUUGUUUUUCGAGACAGGGUUUCUCUGUGUAGCCCUGGCUGUCCUGGAACUCACUCUGUAGACCAGGCUGGCCUCAAACUCAGAAAUUGGCUGCCUCUGCCUCCCGAGUGCUGGGAUUAAAGGCGUGUGCCACCACCGCCCGGCCUCUUACUUAUUCUUGAUUCAUCGAGUUGGUAGCACAUAUUGUCUGUCAUUCCUACUCUAGACUGUAAGCUUAUUAGUCCUAUGAUGAGCCCAGUGAUCAGAACACUUCCAAGUUUAGCAUAGACAAUGUUUAUUUGUAUCUAAGAGAUGGCAUCUGGGUCCAUAGCUCUGUGGGGUCAUGGCCUGGCCCUCUCUUCUUCGUUAACAACCUCUCUACUAGUAGCUAAAUAUUACCUCUAUUGCUUUGGUGGAUUAAAAGUUGUCAGCAGAGUAUGACAACAACUAAUUGUGAAGCCGGGCGUGGUAGCACACGCCUUCAAUCCCAGCACUUGGGAGGCAGAGGCAGGCGGAUUUCUGAGUUCAAGGCCAGCCUGGUCUACAAAGUGAGUGUCAGGACAGCCAGGGCUACACAGAGAAAUCCUGUCUCGAAAAACAGAAAACAACAAAAAAAAAACCAAAAAGCACUAGUGAGGCUGAGGCAAGGGGAUAGUGAGUUUGGGGGCCAUCUUGGGCUACUGAGUGAACUCCUGUCUCAAAACAAAACUAAUAGCCAGGCAGUGGUGGUGUACGCCUUUAAUCCUAACACUUGGGAAGCAGAGGCAGGCAGAUUUCUGAAUUUGAGGACAGUCAGGGCUACACAGAGAAACCCUGUCUCAAAACCAACCAACCAACCAAACAAACAAACAAAAAACCCAAAACUAAUAACUCAAGAGGCAGAGACAGGCAGAUGGCUGUGAGUUUGAGACAGGUCUGGUCUACAUAGCAAGUCUCAUGGCAGCCAAGACUACCUUGCAAGGCCUUGUCAUACUUUCCCUUUUCUAGUUACCCUUUCUGUCUCAAACCCCAUGUCAGUCCAUCUGCAACCCUCCUAUCAACUGAUACUACUCUGAAGUAAUGUUGCCUUAACAUUUGGGAGAUGAGAAGAAAUGUCUGCUUACCCCAGCCAGGGUACCAACUCAGACCUUAGUGUUGUGCCUUUGAGCUACUGCCCCACAGUCUUUACUUCUUAUUGUGAAACAGGGUCUUGCUCAGUGGCCCAUAUAGGCCUUGACUUUGGGUUACAGUUUUCCUUCUCCACCUUCUCAUGGGCUUGGGUUAAGAGCAUGCAUGUGGUCCACGCCUGGUUUGAUGAAUCUCUCUAUAUGUGGACUGAACCCAGAACUUAGAAUUUUCCAGGCAAGUGCUCUACCACUGUAUUUGCUGUAUUCUCAGUUCUUUUUUGUUUUUGAUUUAUUUUAGAUAUAUAUGAGUACACUGUAACUAUACAGAUGGUUGUGAGCCGUCAUGUGAUUAUUGGGAAUUAAAUUUAGGACCUCUGCUUGCUCUGGUCAACCCACUAGCUCAGGCCCAAAGAUUUAUCAUUAUAAAUAAUAAGUACAUUGUUGCUGUCUUCAGACACACCAGAAGAGGUCUCAUUACUGGUGGUUGUGAGCCACCAUGUGGUUUCCGGAAUUUGAACUCAGGACCUUCAGAAGAGCAGUCAGUGCUCUUACCUGCUGAGCAAUCUUAAAAGCCCUCUUUUUGUUUUUGAAACAGGGUCUCUUACAUAGACUUGGCUGUCAUAAAACUCACUGUGUAGCCGGGCAUGGUGGUGCACGCCUUUAAUCCCAGCACUCAGGAGGUCAGAGACAGCUAGGAGCUAGGGCUAUACAGAGAAACCCGUCUCAAGAAACAAACAAAAACUCACUGUGUAGCAUUGACAGGUUGGCCUCAAACCCAGAGAUUCUCCUGCCUCAGCCUCCCAAGUGCUGACAUUAAAGGUUUGGGUCACCAUGCUUAUCUUGUAUCUCAUGUAUGAUUUUAAACUCCAGGAAAAAAAAAAAAAACAGCAAAAUCAUAUCUGUCUUAAAUUGUAUAGGGGAAAAUUUUUUUUGAAAAAAAUAUCAUCUGCCUCUAGUCUCAUACUGGGAUUAAAGGCAUCUGCCAGCACUGCCUGGCUCCCCACCCACUCCCCCUUCCCCUUGCAGUGGUUGAACUUCUAAGGUCAGACUGGUCUCUAUUGUUUAUGUUUAUUGGUGUUUUGUCUACUUGUAUAUCUGUGUUAGUGUCAGAAGCUCUGGAACUGGAGUUAUAGGAGGGUGUGAGCUGUCAUGUAGCUUCUGGGAAUUGAUCUGGGGUCCUCUGGAAGAGCAGCCAAGUACCUUUUUUUAAAAAAAAUAGAUUAAUUAAUUAAUUAAUUAUGUGUAAGUACACUGUAGUUGUCUUCUCACACUCCAGAAGAGAGUCAGAUCUCAUUACGGAUGGUUGAGAGCCACCAUGUGAUUGCUGGGAUUUGAACUCAGGACCUUUGGAAGAGCAGUCAGUGCUCUUAACUGCUGAGCCAUCUCUCCAGCCUCCAACAGCAGCCAAGUACCCUUAACCAAUGAGCCAUGGCCUUGAAUUCCUGGAUGGCCUGCCUCUACCUCCCAAGUGCUGGGAUUGCUUUGCCAUAUAUCACUUACAUGGUCCCAAGUCAAGGAUGUUUUUGUGUUUCUACCUUGGCCCAGCUGUAGCUUUGACAUUCUCAGUACCUUCACCAUGUUGCUAAGAUAUUUGACUGUGUGAGACCUAUCAACUCAAAGGAUGUGGAGCCUGGAUGAAGGCCGCAGAACAAAGCUGGGCACUAACUCAGGGUGACUGUGUGCUAUAUAUGCUCUACCUUCUCGCUCCUGUGCUGUGCAGCCAAAGCCAUGGUUAGACUUCCUUGGGCUUUCCCUAAGCUAUCACUUCUCUGUGCAGUCUUGAAGUUAGACGUUGGAGAGUGACAUCAUGGGCCCUGUGAACCCAUAUGCUGAAUGCCCAGGGCAGAAGCUGCAUUUAGUGCUUGCUCUGUGCCUAAGGCUAUAGGCCAGACCUUCCUGGUUGAUUGAGGUGAGCCUUGUGCUUUCUCUGGACUUCUCCCAGCACAAGACACUGGGCUGUGGAAAAGAGAAAAGCCCUGUUAGUCUGGUAUGGUUUGCAGUUUCAAGGCCCAUUGGAAGGUCUGACUGUGCUCUCUGCUCCCAUCCCUUCCCAGCCUCCCCUCCGGGGCUCCGUGGGACACUGGAUCUCCAGGUUAUCCGUGUUCGGAUGGAGGAACCACCAGCCGUCAGCCUCUUACAGGACUGGUCCAAGCACCCCCAGGGCACCAAGGGGGUGGGAACAGGUGACAAGCCAGACUGGCCCACAGUUCUGUCAGAAUCCAGUGCCACUGUUAAGGGACAACCAAAGGCAGGGAGUGGAGUAUAAGUUUUCAGUUUUCUAGAGAGGGAGGGGCGGGAAGAAGGAAAGGUGGGCGGGAGGAGGUAGUUAUCCCCCAUUGGCUUAAAUCUCAGAUCUGCCUAGCUUGGCCACCUGAUGGAGAUUUUUUAAAACCAGGUGCCAGGACAAUGUGGAGGGAGGAGGGGUGGCAUCACUGUCACAUCGGGCUACUGGAAAAUGCCUGCUCUUGGCCAAGCCGGAGGUAGGCAGAGGCGGCUUAGGUUGUUGGGUGGUAGGUAAGGCAUUGGGCCUGUGGAGAACACCUUCCCUAAUCCUUCGCUGACCUACCCUCUGGCCCCAUAUCUCCUCCUCCCUCUCAGCUCCCCACCAUUCUCCCCUGGCACAGUGCCUUAUGCAGAGGUGGUCAUGAUGGGGUUGGAACUGAGUCCCACUACCUCGGGGGACACCUUUCCUCCCCCACUUCUGGCUCCUACAGCAGGAGGCCUCCAUUACCUCUUACCGCCUUGUCCCUGCCGAGGGCUCCCGUUACAACCCCUUUACCUGUUGUCCUGUUGCAUCUAUUGUCCUGUUGUAUAUAUUGCCUUUGUUGACAAUAAAUUAUUUUUUUUUUAUUAAAAGUUCUGUGUGGGCUAUCAUUGGGAAAGGGGCAUAUUCUUAGAGCAGAUUGAGGGGCAGGAAACCGAAAAGUGGUCCUGAGUGGGAGCCAGAGACCCCUGCCAGGGCAGAGCAGCAGUGAGCCCAGAACAGAGGUUGCUUGGACCUCAGGGUCUGUUUUAACUUAAUGUCAGUCGCCUGAGAGACCCAUUUUCUUUACUUGACCUACUGACCCACCUGGUAGGCCUCUGUCCAAGCAAAGCUACUAUGGGGCUAGGGACACUCCUACCCAAGGAGCUAAGAGUUAGUGGGCCCUGAACUUGGCCAGCCUGCACUGACAUUUCCUCUGAUGUGAAGGUGGUACAUCCCUGCAUUCUCAAAGGGCUGUGCACUCCACUAUACACUUCACCCCUGUUCCUCAGCCUCAAUCCAAGUCUGCCUGGGGUCUGCAGAUUUUAGGCAUCCUGAGCUAUCGCUGCAUAGACCUAAUCUGUGGGGUUUUGCACUUGGGGUGAAAAUGAAUGUCCCAGAUUGCUUACUCUCAAAUCCUAGGAGGUGAGGCCACCCCACACUGCUGACUGUUCCUGGUAUAUUAUGGAGACUUGGGGAAAGGUAAAAUGAAGCCUCGCCUCCAUCAGGAAGAGUCAGGGUAUGCUGUGUGCUUGCUUAAGCUACUGUUCCCAGACCAGAGAUCUCAUACUGGACCCAGGCUGAGAAUUGGCCCUGCUAAGCCAUCUGUAUUCUCAGGAGGAGCCCAAGAAGGUAGAAGGUCCUUGUCCAGGAGAAGAGGAGACCGAAAUGAAGUAGAUGCAGGAGUUAAAGGUUCAAGGUCCAUCAUGUCCAGAAUGUCCCAGCCAUUGUCUGGGCCACAGGACACCUGGGUCUGUAUCUGUUUCUGUAGGUUAGCACAGUUUGUAUGCUCCCUAAAAAUAAUUUAGAUGUAGACUGUCUCUGAAAGCACUGUGUUGAAAUUGCAGGUGGUUUCUGUCCCUACAACUGUGUGACUUUACAUUUAUGUCAACUUGUUUUUAAAACAUUGUAUUUUUCACAAAGUAUUGAGGAAACUCAUAAAAGAUUGUGUUGUAAAAUGAUUAUCCAAACGCUUGCCCCUUUGUGGUUGUAUGAACCUGAUUUGUCUUAGACUGUGAACUCUGUGGGGCAGGGACCAGACUGCAUUAACUUGGUAUUUCUGGUGUCCUGCAUAGGGCUCGGCACAUAAGUACUCAAUAAAUGUCUGUCAAAUGCC